Molecule: ribosomal RNA, 250 nt
Filed under: uncultured bacterium
Lineage: Bacteria
Description: partial 16S ribosomal RNA
Rfam family: Bacterial small subunit ribosomal RNA
Source: RNAcentral
UAGAUACCCUGGUAGUCCAUGCCGUAAACGUUGGGCACUAGGUGUGGGGGACAUUCCACGUUCUCCGCGCCGUAGCUAACGCAUUAAGUGCCCCGCCUGGGGAGUACGGUCGCAAGGCUAAAACUCAAAGGAAUUGACGGGGGCCCGCACAAGCGGCGGAGCAUGCGGAUUAAUUCGAUGCAACGCGAAGAACCUUACCAAGGCUUGACAUACACUGGACCGUUCUGGAAACAGUUCUUCUCUUUGGAGC